RNAcentral lists this ribosomal RNA (1070 nucleotides) under Patescibacteria group bacterium. RNAcentral's name for it is "partial 23S ribosomal RNA". It matches the Rfam family "Bacterial large subunit ribosomal RNA", at positions 1484 to 2581 of the family's 2925-position model. The record is from RNAcentral.
AGCGAGAGUAAGUAGUGAGGAAGAGCUAAUUGGUAAAUCCGUUAGUUUGUUUAUUUAAGCUACGAGUCAGAGUGUGUUAGUAAUAAUACAUAAGUAAGGUACUUUCAGCUUCCGAGAAACGCAUCAUUACGUCCUAGCAAUAGGACAAAGCAUUUUUUUACCGUACCGUAUAACCGACACAGGUGGACAAGUCGAGUAGACUAAGAUGAUCGGGAGAAAGUGGAUUAAGGAACUCGGCAAUAAAUCUAGGCGUAACCUAUGGGAGAUGCCUUGCCAUCAGCAAUGGUGGUUGCAACAAAAGAGUACUUAGUAGCUGUUUAUCUAAAACACAGGUCCCUGCAAAACCGAAAGGUAACGUAUAGGGGCUGACACCUGCCCAGUGCUGGUAAGUCAAAUAUCUCUGGUGAAGUUCGCAAGAAUCAGCUUAGGAUAUAAGCUCCAGUAAACGGCAGCAGUAACUAUAACUGUUCUAUGGUAGCGAAGUUCCUUGUCGGGCGAGUUCCGACCCGCACGAAAGGUAGAAUAAUUAAGUAACUGUCUUAAUCCAUUACUCGGCGAAAUUGAGAUGGCCGUGAAGACGCGGCCUAGGUAUGCAUGGACAAAAAGACCCCGGGAGCUUUACUGUAUCUUGGCAUUUGCAAGCUCAUUUUAUAUGUUUAGUAUAGGAGGGAGAGCAAUCAAUAGUGAAAUACCUCUCUUUGGAAUGAGUGAGCAUUACCUCGACCCGCAUAAAAAUUCGGGAGGGGAACAGUGCUUGGUUGGCAGUUUAACUGGGGCGAUUGACUCCUACAACGCAACGGAGUCGUACAAAGGUUGGCUAACUAUGUAAGGAAAUCAUAGUGAUAGCGCAAAAGCAUAAGCCAGCUUGACUGCGAGACAGACAAGUCGAGCAGGGUCGAAAGACGGUUUUAGUGAUCCUCCGACGCUUAGUGGUAGGCGCGGAGCUUAACGGAUAAAAGCUACCCCGGGGAUAACAGGCUGAUCGCUCCCAAGCGUCCACAGCGACGGGGCGGUUUGGCACCUUAAAUAACAUUGGGGCGCCUUACUUGCAAAAGUAUAGCCUGGAUUAU